GAUGAACGCUGGCGGCGUGCUUAACACAUGCAAGUCGAACGGUGAAGCCAAGCUUGCUUGGUGGAUCAGUGGCGAACGGGUGAGUAACACGUGAGCAACCUGCCCUGGACUCUGGGAUAAGCGCUGGAAACGGCGUCUAAUACUGGAUAUGAGACGUGAUCGCAUGGUCGUGUUUGGAAAGAUUUUUCGGUCUGGGAUGGGCUCGCGGCCUAUCAGCUUGUUGGUGAGGUAAUGGCUCACCAAGGCGUCGACGGGUAGCCGGCCUGAGAGGGUGACCGGCCACACUGGGACUGAGACACGGCCCAGACUCCUACGGGAGGCAGCAGUGGGGAAUAUUGCACAAUGGGCGGAAGCCUGAUGCAGCAACGCCGCGUGAGGGAUGACGGCCUUCGGGUUGUAAACCUCUUUUAGCAGGGAAGAAGCGAAAGUGACGGUACCUGCAGAAAAAGCGCCGGCUAACUACGUGCCAGCAGCCGCGGUAAUACGUAGGGCGCAAGCGUUAUCCGGAAUUAUUGGGCGUAAAGAGCUCGUAGGCGGUUUGUCGCGUCUGCUGUGAAAUCCCGAGGCUCAACCUCGGGUCUGCAGUGGGUACGGGCAGACUAGAGUGCGGUAGGGGAGAUUGGAAUUCCUGGUGUAGCGGUGGAAUGCGCAGAUAUCAGGAGGAACACCGAUGGCGAAGGCAGAUCUCUGGGCCGUAACUGACGCUGAGGAGCGAAAGGGUGGGGAGCAAACAGGCUUAGAUACCCUGGUAGUCCACCCCGUAAACGUUGGGAACUAGUUGUGGGGACCAUUCCACGGUUUCCGUGACGCAGCUAACGCAUUAAGUUCCCCGCCUGGGGAGUACGGCCGCAAGGCUAAAACUCAAAGGAAUUGACGGGGACCCGCACAAGCGGCGGAGCAUGCGGAUUAAUUCGAUGCAACGCGAAGAACCUUACCAAGGCUUGACAUAUACGAGAACGGGCCAGAAAUGGUCAACUCUUUGGACACUCGUAAACAGGUGGUGCAUGGUUGUCGUCAGCUCGUGUCGUGAGAUGUUGGGUUAAGUCCCGCAACGAGCGCAACCCUCGUUCUACGUUGCCAGCACGUAAUGGUGGGAACUCAUGGGAUACUGCCGGGGUCAACUCGGAGGAAGGUGGGGAUGACGUCAAAUCAUCAUGCCCCUUAUGUCUUGGGCUUCACGCAUGCUACAAUGGCCGGUACAAAGGGCUGCAAUACCGUGAGGUGGAGCGAAUCCCAAAAAGCCGGUCCCAGUUCGGAUUGAGGUCUGCAACUCGACCUCAUGAAGUCGGAGUCGCUAGUAAUCGCAGAUCAGCAACGCUGCGGUGAAUACGUUCCCGGGUCU
Molecule: ribosomal RNA, 1342 nt
Filed under: uncultured bacterium
Lineage: Bacteria
Description: bacterial SSU rRNA
Rfam family: Bacterial small subunit ribosomal RNA
Source: RNAcentral